CCUACGGGAGGCAGCAGUGGGGAAUUUUGGACAAUGGGCGCAAGCCUGAUCCAGCAAUGCCGCGUGCAGGAUGAAGGCCUUCGGGUUGUAAACUGCUUUUGUACGGAACGAAACGGUCUGCCCUAAUACGGUGGGCUAAUGACGGUACCGUAAGAAUAAGCACCGGCUAACUACGUGCCAGCAGCCGCGGUAAUACGUAGGGUGCGAGCGUUAAUCGGAAUUACUGGGCGUAAAGCGUGCGCAGGCGGUUAUGUAAGACAGAUGUGAAAUCCCCGGGCUCAACCUGGGACCUGCAUUUGUGACUGCAUAGCUAGAGUACGGUAGAGGGGGAUGGAAUUCCGCGUGUAGCAGUGAAAUGCGUAGAUAUGCGGAGGAACACCGAUGGCGAAGGCAAUCCCCUGGACCUGUACUGACGCUCAUGCACGAAAGCGUGGGGAGCAAACAGGAUUAGAUACCCUGGUAGUCCACGCCCUAAACGAUGUCAACUGGUUGUUGGGUCUUCACUGACUCAGUAACGAAGCUAACGCGUGAAGUUGACCGCCGUCGGGAGGUACGGCCGGCCGAAGGUUAGUAAACGUUAAAAGGUAAAGUUAGUACGGCGUGAGACGUGACCGAACGGACGACGACGAGGGAGGAGG
RNAcentral lists this ribosomal RNA (638 nucleotides) under uncultured bacterium. RNAcentral describes it as "bacterial SSU rRNA". The stretch from base 1 to 542 matches the Rfam family "Bacterial small subunit ribosomal RNA", at positions 338 to 873 of the family's 1533-position model. The record is from RNAcentral.